Molecule: long non-coding RNA, 208 nt
Filed under: Zostera marina
Lineage: Eukaryota; Viridiplantae; Streptophyta; Magnoliopsida; Alismatales; Zosteraceae
Description: long non-coding RNA (ZMAR_LNC002794)
Source: RNAcentral
UCGGCGCUUCGCCUGCCAUGAUGAACCUCGUGAUCGGCGUUCUCCAGUCCCCCGACGUUAUUACCCCGCACGCUCUGGCUGGUCCGCGGUCGCUGGUCGUCGUCGGUCGUUCCUGGUUUUCAAUCCGGAUCCACCUUCCCUCCUUUUUUCCUGGGGACGCCCCCAGUUUGGCCAGUGUGUCGGCCUCCCCAUUGUGUUCUCUCCCUAU